AGCGAACGUUUGCGGCGGGCCUAACACAUGCAAGUCGAACGCACUAGCAAUAGUGAGUGGCGCACGGGUGCGUAACACGUGGGUAAUCAACCCUUCAGCCUGGGAUAACGACUCGAAAGGGUCGCUAAUACCGGAUACGGCGCGAGAGGCUUCGGCUUCUCACGAGAAAGCCACGCAAGGGGGCACUGAAGGACGAGCCUGCGGCCCAUCAGCUAGUUGGUGAGGUAAGAGCUCACCAAGGCUAAGACGGGUAGCUGGUCUGAGAGGAUGAUCAGCCACACUGGAACUGAGACACGGUCCAGACUCCUACGGGAGGCAGCAGUGGGGAAUAUUGCGCAAUGGGCGAAAGCCUGACGCAGCCACGCCGCGUGAGCGAUGAAGGCCUUCGGGUCGUAAAGACGUCUGUGGGAGGAGACGAAGAAAGACCUGUGAAGAGCAGGCCUUGACGGUAGUCUCCUUAGCAAGCACCGGCGUAACUACCGU
This 483-nucleotide ribosomal RNA is filed under the name uncultured bacterium. RNAcentral describes it as "bacterial SSU rRNA". It matches the Rfam family "Bacterial small subunit ribosomal RNA", at positions 29 to 508 of the family's 1533-position model. The record is from RNAcentral.